UAUCCAUCAACAUGGAGGAGCUGAAGUUUCUCAGCGUCCCGAGCUAUUAGAUUAUUUAAAAAAAGAAGAAUUUCAAGGACGUUAAUAUGAAAAAUAACGUCAGGCGCACGGUUGCACAGGCUGUAGGGUUACCAGAUUUUCCGGGACACCCGCAUCUGCAGAUCGUCGAUCCGCUGCUGAACUUCGACGCGUAAAUGAAACCGGUUUGUAUGACACUGACCUGGUGGACGGCGUCUGUUCUGAAUCGUCCAUUGUGAAAUACUGGAGCAGAGGAGCCGGGUCACCUUGUUUGGACGCGCCGCUGUCGCCGCGGUUACCAGAGCCCAGGUGUUCCGGAACGUCUCCAGUCCAGUGUCUCGGAGUUCCGGAGUUCUUUCAGAGACAUUGGAAUUAAAAAGCAGGGGCUGGACCCCCGACCCUUGGUUUGCACGGGUUCGAAGUGAACCGAGCCACAGACCCAACAAACACGACAGGACUUCAGAUCAACGGCUGCAAUGAAAGCAUCACCUCGUUUCUGAAGAGCCUGCUUGUUUUUUUUUUUUAAUUGGUUAUUUCUCCAUUCAGAAAGAAUAAAAUUAAAAAAA
Acipenser ruthenus (sterlet) is the source of this 584-nucleotide long non-coding RNA. RefSeq lists it as uncharacterized. NCBI's taxonomy places the organism in Eukaryota, Metazoa, Chordata, Actinopteri, Acipenseriformes, Acipenseridae. The record is from RefSeq and is a predicted model, not a curated record. The transcript has 4 exons.